This 68-nucleotide transfer RNA is filed under the name bovine gut metagenome. It matches the Rfam family "tRNA". Rfam says of the family: Transfer RNA (tRNA) molecules are approximately 80 nucleotides in length. Their secondary structure includes four short double-helical elements and three loops (D, anti-codon, and T loops). The record is from RNAcentral.
CUAGUGGCGCAGUGGUUAGCGCAGCGGACUCAUAAUCCGUUGGUCGUAGGUUCGAACCCUACCUGGCC